RNAcentral lists this ribosomal RNA (253 nucleotides) under uncultured bacterium. Its description in RNAcentral is "partial 16S ribosomal RNA". It matches the Rfam family "Bacterial small subunit ribosomal RNA", at positions 524 to 776 of the family's 1533-position model. The record is from RNAcentral.
UACAGAGGUCUCGAGCGUUAGGCGGAAUCACUGGGCUUAAAGCGUGUGUAGGCGGAUCGUUAAGUGCCUUGUGAAAUCCCACGGCUUAACCGUGGAACUGCUUGGCAUACUGGCGGUCUUGAGCAACCUAGGGGCGAGCGGAACAAAUGGUGGAGCGGUGAAAUGCGUAGAUAUCAUCUGGAACGCCGAAGGUGAAAACAGGUCGCUGGGGGUGUGCCGACGCUGAGACACGAAAGCCAGGGGAGCGAACGGG